GAGUUUGAUCCUGGCUCAGAUUGAACGCUGGCGGCAGGCCUAACACAUGCAAGUCGAGCGGUAGCACAGAGAGCUUGCUCUCGGGUGACGAGCGGCGGACGGGUGAGUAAUGUCUGGGAAACUGCCUGAUGGAGGGGGAUAACUACUGGAAACGGUAGCUAAUACCGCAUAACGUCGCAAGACCAAAGUGGGGGACCUUCGGGCCUCAUGCCAUCAGAUGUGCCCAGAUGGGAUUAGCUGGUAGGUGGGGUAACGGCUCACCUAGGCGACGAUCCCUAGCUGGUCUGAGAGGAUGACCAGCCACACUGGAACUGAGACACGGUCCAGACUCCUACGGGAGGCAGCAGUGGGAAUAUUGCACAAUGGGCGCAAGCCUGAUGCAGCCAUGCCGCGUGUGUGAAGAAGGCCUUCGGGUUGUAAAGCACUUUCAGCGGGGAGGAAGGCGGUGAGGUUAAUAACCUCAUCGAUUGACGUUACCCGCAGAAGAAGCACCGGCUAACUCCGUGCCAGCAGCCGCGGUAAUACGGAGGGUGCAAGCGUUAAUCGGAAUUACUGGGCGUAAAGCGCACGCAGGCGGUCUGUCAAGUCGGAUGUGAAAUCCCCGGGCUUAACCUGGGAACUGCAUUCGAAACUGGCAGGCUAGAGUCUUGUAGAGGGGGGUAGAAUUCCAGGUGUAGCGGUGAAAUGCGUAGAGAUCUGGAGGAAUACCGGUGGCGAAGGCGGCCCCCUGGACAAAGACUGACGCUCAGGUGCGAAAGCGUGGGGAGCAAACAGGAUUAGAUACCCUGGUAGUCCACGCUGUAAACGAUGUCGAUUUGGAGGUUGUGCCCUUGAGGCGUGGCUUCCGGAGCUAACGCGUUAAAUCGACCGCCUGGGGAGUACGGCCGCAAGGUUAAAACUCAAAUGAAUUGACGGGGGCCCGCACAAGCGGUGGAGCAUGUGGUUUAAUUCGAUGCAACGCGAAGAACCUUACCUGGUCUUGACAUCCACAGAACUUUGCAGAGAUGGAUUGGUGCCUUCGGGAACUGUGAGACAGGUGCUGCAUGGCUGUCGUCAGCUCGUGUUGUGAAAUGUUGGGUUAAGUCCCGCAACGAGCGCAACCCUUAUCCUUUGUUGCCAGCGGUUCGGCCGGGAACUCAAAGGAGACUGCCAGUGAUAAACUGGAGGAAGGUGGGGAUGACGUCAAGUCAUCAUGGCCCUUACGACCAGGGCUACACACGUGCUACAAUGGCAUAUACAAAGAGAAGCGACCUCGCGAGAGCAAGCGGACCUCAUAAAGUAUGUCGUAGUCCGGAUUGGAGUCUGCAACUCGACUCCAUGAAGUCGGAAUCGCUAGUAAUCGUAGAUCAGAAUGCUACGGUGAAUACGUUCCCGGGCCUUGUACACACCGCCCGUCACACCAUGGGAGUGGGUUGCAAAAGAAGUAGGUAGCUUAACCUUCGGGAGGGCGCUUACCACUUUGUGAUUCAUGACUGGGGUGAAGUCGUAACAAGGUAACCGUAGGGGAACCUGCGGCUGGAUCACCUCCUU
This 1530-nucleotide ribosomal RNA is filed under the name Klebsiella sp. KGA. RNAcentral describes it as "bacterial SSU rRNA". It matches the Rfam family "Bacterial small subunit ribosomal RNA". Lineage: Bacteria; Pseudomonadati; Pseudomonadota; Gammaproteobacteria; Enterobacterales; Enterobacteriaceae. The record is from RNAcentral.